This 483-nucleotide ribosomal RNA is filed under the name uncultured bacterium. RNAcentral describes it as "partial 16S ribosomal RNA". It matches the Rfam family "Bacterial small subunit ribosomal RNA", at positions 28 to 507 of the family's 1533-position model. The record is from RNAcentral.
GACGAGCGCUGGCGGCGUGCCUAACACAUGCCAGUCGAGCGGGGAUUUAAGUGGAAGUUCUUCGGAAUGGAGAUUUAAAUUCUAGCGGCGGACGGGUGAGUAACGCGUGAACAAUCUGUCCCGGACAGGGGGAUAACACUUGGAAACAGGUGCUAAUACCGCAUAAGACCACGGCCUCGCAUGGGGCUGAGGUAAAAGGAGCAAUCCGGUUCGGGGUGAGUUCGCGUCCGAUUAGCUAGUUGGUGAGGUAACGGCCCACCAAGGCGACGAUCGGUAGCCGGCCUGAGAGGGUGAACGGCCACAUUGGAACUGAGAGACGGUCCAAACUCCUACGGGAGGCAGCAGUGGGGAAUAUUGGGCAAUGGGCGAAAGCCUGACCCAGCAACGCCGCGUGAGGGAAGAAGGUUUUCGGAUUGUAAACCUCUGUCCUAUGGGACGAAGGAAGUGACGGUACCAUAGGAGGAAGCCCCGGCUAACUACGUG